RNAcentral lists this ribosomal RNA (156 nucleotides) under Nymphaea jamesoniana. Its description in RNAcentral is "5.8S ribosomal RNA". It matches the Rfam family "5.8S ribosomal RNA". Rfam says of the family: 5.8S ribosomal RNA (5.8S rRNA) is a component of the large subunit of the eukaryotic ribosome. It is transcribed by RNA polymerase I as part of the 45S precursor that also contains 18S and 28S rRNA. The record is from RNAcentral. Lineage: Eukaryota; Viridiplantae; Streptophyta; Magnoliopsida; Nymphaeales; Nymphaeaceae.
CUCUCGGCAACGGAUAUCUUGGCUCCUGCCACGAUGAAGAACGUAGCGAAAUGCGAUACUUGGUGUGAAUUGCAGAAUCCCGUGAAUCAUCGAGUUUUUGAACGCAAGUUGCGUCCGAGGCCAUUUGGCUAAGGGCACGCCUGCCUGGGCGUCAAG